CGUGUAGGCGGCUAAGUAGGUCCGCUGUGAAAACUCGAGGCUUAACCUCGAGCCGUCGGUGGAAACCAUUUGGCUAGAGUCCGGAAGAGGAGAGCGGAAUUCCCGGUGUAGCGGUGAAAUGCGCAGAUAUCGGGAAGAACACCCGUGGCGAAGGCGGCUCUCUGGGACGGUACUGACGCUGAGACGCGAAAGCGUGGGGAGCAAACA
Molecule: ribosomal RNA, 207 nt
Filed under: uncultured bacterium
Lineage: Bacteria
Description: partial 16S ribosomal RNA
Rfam family: Bacterial small subunit ribosomal RNA
Source: RNAcentral